Molecule: ribosomal RNA, 253 nt
Filed under: uncultured bacterium
Lineage: Bacteria
Description: partial 16S ribosomal RNA
Rfam family: Bacterial small subunit ribosomal RNA
Source: RNAcentral
UACAGAGGUCUCAAGCGUUGUUCGGAUUCAUUGGGCGUAAAGGGUGCGUAGGCGGCGCGGUAAGUCGGGUGUGAAAUCUUGGAGCUUAACUCCGAAACUGCAUUCGAUACUGCCUUGCUCGAGUACUGGAGAGGAGAUUGGAAUUUACGGUGUAGCAGUGAAAUGCGUAGAUAUCGUAAGGAAGACCAGUGGCGAAGGCGAAUCUCUGGACAGUUACUGACACUGAGGCACGAAGGCCAGGGGAGCAAACGGG